GAGAUUAAUACACUAGGUAUUCCCUUGAAGGGAGGAAUUUUUUUUUUUCGGAAUGAAAGUCUGGAUUUGCGCUGUUAUAAGAAAUAUUUUAUCUGGGGAAGUUAGUUUUUCAAACUAAACCCAAUGGGAUAGACAGCGGUUUAAAGUUUCGUUUGAGGUAAAGGAUUUGUAUAUUCUUUAUACUUCUAUUGAGUGCAAUUGUAGAAGGAGUGUUUAAAUACUACUCUAACCCGAUAC
Molecule: non-coding RNA, 237 nt
Organism: Saccharomycodes ludwigii
Lineage: Eukaryota; Fungi; Ascomycota; Saccharomycetes; Saccharomycodales; Saccharomycodaceae
Source: RefSeq, a predicted model, not a curated record